RNAcentral lists this long non-coding RNA (2249 nucleotides) under Gallus gallus (chicken). Lineage: Eukaryota; Metazoa; Chordata; Aves; Galliformes; Phasianidae. The record is from RNAcentral.
UCUUCUUUGUCCAUUCAGAAUUUUUAAUUUGGUUAGUAAAAAAUGAGUAAUAAUUUAAACCUGAUCUUGAGACAGUUUAAGAAAAAAAACUCUUAAUUCUUGAAUUCAUUUCAUGCCAUCUUUAAUAAAAGAGUUAAUGCAGAUUCCUUCUGUUUACUGAAAUGAAGUGAGAAGUUUAUGGUUCUUACAUAUUUGAAUAGUCCCAACACCAGACACACAAAAUGUUAUAAUGUAUUUUAAUCAUUACAGCACCACGUUAUUAUUAUAAACCAUUUCAAUAACACUCAGUAUAGAACUCAGUGAAGAGCACUACUACUAUGCACUGUCAAAUAUUUCUGGUGGUAUUGGGAACUGACUACAGUGUUUUAUUUAUUUUUUCUUAAAUCAAAACUUAACUUACGCAUUCUGAACUUGUACAUAAUACACAAGAUUGUACAUCCAUAUAGUCUGCAGGAACAUUCACUCGUUUUUUUUCUGGUUUGUAUACAAGAGUAAAUUUUCUAUAACAAUAUGAAAGAAAAUUAAUAACUUAUGUAUCUAGCUAGGCGUUUAGUAUUUAUUUUUAAUCAUAUUAAUCAAAAGAUGACUGAAAAAAUCGAAGUUAAAUAUUGUGAAGUGCACAAAAUCUAAAAUAUAGGGACUUUCCACAGUACAUUAUACUAAAUCAACAUAUAACAGACUCAAAGCUUAAAAGCCAAAAUCUUCAUUUAAAAAUUUAGUGUUUCUGACAUCAUUUUCCACCAUUCCAUCAGCUCUUCUUUUUCCUCUUCUUUUCUUUCAGACAACGACUCCAGUUCAAAAUCAACCACAACAGCAGGACUAAAGGGCACAGCUACUUUUUUAGUUAUUGCUAGAUAACCUGGUGCUGAGGCUGUGAGUUUGUAGUUUCCAGGCACAAGCAGUCUCCAGUAAUCACCAUCCUUGGCUGAUGUAAUGUCAUGGCUUAUCCCCUCCACAGAAAUUGUAGCAUUUGCUAUUGGAUUGCCCUGAAGAUCUUUAACAAAACCCUUCACUCCUCGGUGAAUCUGCUCAAUGUAAUUGAUGAGGGAGUUCUUGUUGUCCUCCCAAUAGCCCUUCAGAGUUUCUUCAGGUGGGAAUUUUUCACAGCUAAGCUCCACUGUGAUUUCAAAGCAGUUGCUGCUGAGGUAAUUGAAGUCCUGCAUUCCUCCUGGGACACUGUACCAUGCACCUCCAUUGGUCGUUCCAUCCACAAAGCUGCUGUCAUCGUCAUUUUUACGACAUGGUGGUCUGUUUGGAUCAGACAUGGCGGGGUUUAAAGAAGAGUAACUGCGAGCCAGGCUUUGAAAAAUAGCAUCAUCAGGGCAGGAGCUGUAUUCAUGAGCACUGCCACUCCGAGUCUCAUCAUAAGGGUAAUUUGCAACAAGGUCUCCUCCAUGAAGAUUGGCAGAGAGCACAAAGGGAAUAUCCAUAAUCCAGUGAAUGACACCUUUCGUUUCAGGAGCAAGCUUGGGAUUCUGGUCCACAGCCUUCUUCAUGUUUUUCAGGAGGUGAUUGUUUGGGCCACCUUCCUUCUCAUUAACAUAGACUAUCCUAUCCAGAUCAGGGAAAUUUCGGUUUAGAUCUAUCCCCUGGGCAUUACUUCGACCAACAAACCAGUCUUUAAGUUCACCAGGCUGUGAUGCUGCCUUCUCAAAGCCAUCUGGAUUCAAAGAUGGCAUGAUAUGGAUACGUGUGCUAUGGAUCAGGUUGAUAAUAGUUUCAUUGCCUUUCUGGUAUUCAUUACACAAGUACUGAGCCAAGAAGAUGAGCAGCUCCCUUCCAACAGCUUCAUUCCCAUGCAUAUUCCCAACAUAUUUAAAUUCUGGCUCUCCGGGCUCGUGCUCGCCGGGCCGGUCGGACACCUCGAUGACCAGCAGCUCGCGGCCCUCGGAGCUGCGCCCCACCGUGUAGAUCCUGCUGAUGGCCGGGCACUGCAGCCACACGGCCACCAGCGCCUCCCGCAGCUCGGCGUAGCGGUGGUACUCGAAGGAGAUGCCCUCCUCGGCGCUCAGCCGCCGCCGCCGGCUGCUGCCCCCCGCCGCGGGCUCGGCCGCCCGGCAGGCGACGAGCAGCGCGCCCAGCGCCAGCAGCAACAGCCGCAGCUCCCGCGCCGCCAUCCCGCCCGGCUCCUCCGCCUGCGGCCGCGCAGCUGCCGCCCGCCCGGCGGGAGGGGGAGAGAGGGCGGGCGGGCGAGCGGGCGGGGAGGGGCCGCGCCGGGCCGGGAGCGGCCGCCGGUGCCCGCGGCGGGC